This 497-nucleotide ribosomal RNA is filed under the name uncultured bacterium. Its description in RNAcentral is "partial 16S ribosomal RNA". It matches the Rfam family "Bacterial small subunit ribosomal RNA", at positions 28 to 507 of the family's 1533-position model. The record is from RNAcentral.
GAUGAACGCUGGCGGCGUGCCUAACACAUGCAAGUCGAGCGAACAGACGAGGAUCUUGCUGCUCUGACGUUAGCGGCGGACGGGUGAGUAACACGUGGAUAACCUAUCUAUAAUACUGGGAUAACCUCGGGAAACCGGAGAUAAUACCGGAUAAUAUAUUGCACCGCAUGGUUCGAUAGUGAAAGACGGUUUUGCUGGCACUUAUAGAUGCUUCCGCGCCGCAUUUGCUAGUUGGUAAGGAAACGGCUUACCACGGCAACGAUGCGUAGCCGACCUGAGAGGGUGAUCGGCCACACUGGAGCUGAGACAGGGACCAGACUCCUACGGGAGGCAGCAGUAGGGAAUCUUCCGCAAUGGGCGAAAGCCUGACGGAGCAACGCCGCGCGAGGGAUGAAGGUGUUCGGAUCGGAAAGCUCUGUUAUUAGGGAAGAACAAAUGUGUAAGUAACUAUGCACGUCUUGACGGUACCGAAUAAGAAAGCCACGGCUAACUACGUG